AGAGUUUGAUCCUGGCUCAGGAUGAACGCUAGCGGCAGGCCUAAUACAUGCAAGUCGAACGGUGAUAUUUAUAUCAUAGUGGCGCACGGGUGCGUAACACGUAUGCAACCUACCUAUUAUUGGGGGAUAGCCUUUGGAAACGGAGAUUAAUACCGCAUAAUACGAUUAACUGGCAUCGGUUGAUUGUUAAAGCAUUUGCGAUAAUAGAUGGGCACGCGUCCAAUUAGUUAGUUGGUGUGGUAAUGGCUCACCAAGACGAUGAUUGGUAGGGGAUCUGAGAGGAUAAUCCCCCACACUGGCACUGAGAUACGGGCCAGACUCCUACGGGAGGCAGCAGUAGGGAAUAUUGGGCAAUGGGCGGAAGCCUGACCCAGCCAUGCCGCGUGCAGGAAGACGGCGUUAUGCGUUGUAAACUGCUUUUUUAUAGGAAGAAGGAUCCCUUGCGAGGGAAGGUGACGGUACUAUAAGAAUAAGCACCGGCUAACUCCGUGCCAGCAGCCGCGGUAAUACGGAGGGUGCAAGCGUUGUCCGGAUUUAUUGGGUUUAAAGGGUGCGUAGGCGGUUUAUUAAGUCAGUGGUGAAAGACGGUCGCUCAACGAUUGCAGUGCCAUUGAUACUGGUA
RNAcentral lists this ribosomal RNA (622 nucleotides) under uncultured bacterium. Its description in RNAcentral is "bacterial SSU rRNA". It matches the Rfam family "Bacterial small subunit ribosomal RNA", at positions 8 to 638 of the family's 1533-position model. The record is from RNAcentral.